This 82-nucleotide unclassified non-coding RNA is filed under the name Pseudomonas libanensis. Lineage: Bacteria; Pseudomonadati; Pseudomonadota; Gammaproteobacteria; Pseudomonadales; Pseudomonadaceae. The record is from RNAcentral.
GUAAAUGUGGGAGGGGGCUUGCUCCCGAUAGCGGUGUUAACUGACCCACCGCUAUCAGGAGCAAGCCCCCUCCCACAUUUGA